This 107-nucleotide small nuclear RNA is filed under the name Salvator merianae (Argentine black and white tegu). Lineage: Eukaryota; Metazoa; Chordata; Lepidosauria; Squamata; Teiidae. The record is from RNAcentral.
GUGCUCGCUUCGGCAGCACAUAUACUACAAUUGGAAUGAUACAGAGAAGAUUAGCAUGGCCCCCGCACAAGGAUGACACGCAAAUUCGUGAAGCGUUCCAUAAGUAA